UACGUAGGGGGCAAGCGUUGUCCGGAUUUAUUGGGCGUAAAGCGCUCGCAGGUGGUUUGUCGCGUCGUGCGUGAAAGACCCCGGCUCAACUGGGGAGGGUCGUGCGAUACGGGCGAACUGGAGGCCAGUAGGGGGAUGCGGAAUUCCGGGUGUAGUGGUGGAAUGCGUAGAGAUCCGGAGGAACACCAGCGGCGAAGGCGGCAUCCUGGACUGGUCCUGACACUCAGGAGCGAAAGCGUGGGGAGCGAUCCGG
Molecule: ribosomal RNA, 253 nt
Filed under: uncultured bacterium
Lineage: Bacteria
Description: partial 16S ribosomal RNA
Rfam family: Bacterial small subunit ribosomal RNA
Source: RNAcentral